This 446-nucleotide ribosomal RNA is filed under the name uncultured bacterium. Its description in RNAcentral is "bacterial SSU rRNA". It matches the Rfam family "Bacterial small subunit ribosomal RNA", at positions 330 to 792 of the family's 1533-position model. The record is from RNAcentral.
UCCAGACUCCUACGGGAGGCAGCAGUGGGGGAUAUUGCACAAUGGGGGAAACCCUGAUGCAGCGACGCCGCGUGAGUGAAGAAGUAUUUCGGUAUGUAAAGCUCUAUCAGCAGGGAAGAAAAAAGACGGUACCUGACUAAGAAGCCCCGGCUAACUACGUGCCAGCAGCCGCGGUAAUACGUAGGGGGCAAGCGUUAUCCGGAUUUACUGGGUGUAAAGGGAGCGUAGACGGCAAUACAAGUCGGAAGUGAAAUACCCGGGCUCAACCUGGGAACUGCUUUGGAAACUGUAUGGCUGGAGUGCUGGAGAGGUAAGCGGAAUUCCUAGUGUAGCGGUGAAAUGCGUAGAUAUUAGGAGGAACACCAGUGGCGAAGGCGGCUUACUGGACAGUAACUGACGUUGAGGCUCGAAAGCGUGGGGAGCAAACAGGAUUAGAUCCCCUUGUA